GUGCUCCUACGGGAGGCAGCAGUGGGGAAUAUUGCACAAUGGGGGAAACCCUGAUGCAGCGACGCCGCGUGAAGGACGAAGUAUUUCGGUACGGAAACUUCUAUCAGCAGGGAAGAAAAUGACGGUACCUGACCAAGAAGCCCCGGCUAACUACGUGCCAGCAGCCGCGGUAAUACAUAGGGGGCAAGCGUUAUCCGGAAUUAUUGGGCGUAAAGGGUGCGUAGACGGAAGAACAAGUUGGUUGUGAAAUCCAUCGGCUCAACUGAAGAACUGCAACCAAAACU
This 284-nucleotide ribosomal RNA is filed under the name uncultured bacterium. Its description in RNAcentral is "partial 16S ribosomal RNA". It matches the Rfam family "Bacterial small subunit ribosomal RNA", at positions 333 to 634 of the family's 1533-position model. The record is from RNAcentral.